RNAcentral lists this RNase P RNA (252 nucleotides) under Kineothrix sp. Its description in RNAcentral is "partial RNase P RNA component class A". It matches the Rfam family "Bacterial RNase P class A", at positions 1 to 191 of the family's 367-position model. Rfam says of the family: Ribonuclease P (RNase P) is a ubiquitous endoribonuclease, found in archaea, bacteria and eukarya as well as chloroplasts and mitochondria. Its best characterised activity is the generation of mature 5'-ends of tRNAs by cleaving the 5'-leader elements of precursor-tRNAs. Lineage: Bacteria; Bacillati; Bacillota; Clostridia; Lachnospirales; Lachnospiraceae. The record is from RNAcentral.
UAAGUAGAAUAAAUAAUCGCGGCCGCAUUUCUAAAGAAUGCGGGUGAGGAAAGUCCGGGCUUCACAGGGCAGGAUGCCGGAUAACGUCCGGUGGAGGCGACUCCAAGGCUAGUGCAACAGAAAUAAACCGCCGCAGUUCGACCCAUGCCGUUUUGUGGGAAGAAUCCCAAAGGGAUUCUUCCACAGUUCGGCUCAUGCCGAACUGUUGGUAAGGGUGGAAAGGCAGUGUAAGAGACUACCGUCCGUCUGGUA